CAGUCGCCACGGUAAUACAGAGGGUGCGAGCGUUAAUCGGAUUUACUGGGCGUAAAGCGUGCGUAGGCGGCUUUUUAAGUCGGAUGUGAAAUCCCUGAGCUUAACUUAGGAAUUGCAUUCGAUACUGGGAAGCUAGAGUAUGGGAGAGGAUGGUAGAAUUCCAGGUGUAGCGGUGAAAUGCGUAGAGAUCUGGAGGAAUACCGAUGGCGAAGGCAGCCAUCUGGCCUAAUACUGACGCUGAGGUACAAAAGCAUGGGGAGCAAACAGGAUUAGAUACCCCAGUAGUCCCUGUCUCUUAUAC
This 301-nucleotide ribosomal RNA is filed under the name uncultured bacterium. Its description in RNAcentral is "partial 16S ribosomal RNA". It matches the Rfam family "Bacterial small subunit ribosomal RNA", at positions 509 to 807 of the family's 1533-position model. The record is from RNAcentral.